AGUUCGAUAUGGCUCAGAUUGAACGCUGGCGGGAUGCUUUACAUGCAAGUCGAACGGCAGCACGGACUUCGGUCUGGUGGCGAGUGGCAAACGGGUGAGUAAUGUAUCGGAACGUGCCUAGUAGCGGGGGAUAACUACGCGAAAGCGUAGCUAAUACUACACUUUAUACGCCCUUCGAGGAAAGCGGGGACCUUCGGGCCUCGCACUAUUAGAGCGGCCGAUAUCGGAUUAGCUAGUUGGUGGGGUAACGGCUCACCAAGGCGACGAUCCGUAGCUGGUUUGAGACGACCAGUACCUGGGACUGAAGGAGACACGGCCCAGACUCCCUACGGGAGGCAGCAGUGGAGAAUUUUGGACAAUGGGGAAAGCCCUGAUCAAUAUCCCGCGAUAACAUUGAAGGCCUUCGGGUUGUAAACACUUUUGGCGGAAAAAAACUUGGCACGGGAUAAUACCUGAUGUGCAGCUGACGGUACCUGCAGAAUAAGCACCGGCUAACUACGUGCCAGCAGCCGCGGUAAUACGUAAGUGCAAAGCGUUAAUCGGAAUUACUGGGCGUAAAGCGUGCGCAGGCGGUUCGGAAAGAAAGAUGUGAAAUCCCAGAGCAACUUUGGAACUGCAUUUUUAACUACCGAGCUAGAGUGUGUCAGAGGGAGUGGAAUUCCGCGUGUAGCAGUGAAAUGCGUAGAUAUGCGGAGGAACACCGAUGGCGAAGGCCUCCUGGGAUAACACUGACGCUCAUGCACGAAAGCGUGGGGAGCAAACAGGAUUAGAUACCCUGGUAGUCCCACGCCCUAAACGAUGUCAACUAGCUGUUGGGGCCUUCGGGCCUUGGUAGCGCAGCUAACGCGUGAAGUUGACCGCCGCAAGGGGAGUACGGUCGCAGAUUAACUCGAGGAAUUGACGGGGACCCACAAGCGGUGGAUGAUGUGGAUUAAUUCGAUGCAACGCGAAAAACCUUACCUACCCGCCGGCAUGUCUGGAAUCCCGAAGAGAUUUGGGAGUGCUCGCAAGAGAACGGAACACAGGUGCUGCAUGGCUGUCGUCAGCUCGUGUCGUGAGAUGUUGGGUUAAGUCACAACGAGCGCAACCCCGCCUGGCGUCAUUAGUUGCUACCGAAAGGGCACUCUAAUGAGACUGCCGGUGACAAACCGGAGGAAGGUGGAUGACGUCAAGUCCUCAUGUACUAUGGGUAGGGCUUCACACAUCAUACAAUGGUCGGGAUGAGAGAUUAAACCCGCGAGGAGGGAGCCAAUCCCAGAAACCCGAUCGUAGUCGGAUCGCAGUCUGCAACUCGACUGCGUGAAGUCAGAUCGCUAGUAAUCGCGGAUCAGCAUGUCGCGGUGAAUACGUUCCGGGUCUUGUACACACCGCCCGUCACACCAGCCGGUAAGGUUUUUACCAGUAGUUAGCUAACCGUAAGGAGGGCGAUUACCACGGUAGGAUUCAUGACUGGGGUGAAGUCGUAACAAGGUAGCUCUGGUAUUUGAUGCUCAG
This 1494-nucleotide ribosomal RNA is filed under the name uncultured Bordetella sp. RNAcentral describes it as "partial 16S-23S ribosomal RNA intergenic spacer". It matches the Rfam family "Bacterial small subunit ribosomal RNA". The record is from RNAcentral. Lineage: Bacteria; Pseudomonadati; Pseudomonadota; Betaproteobacteria; Burkholderiales; Alcaligenaceae.